Malania oleifera is the source of this 106-nucleotide small nucleolar RNA. Lineage: Eukaryota; Viridiplantae; Streptophyta; Magnoliopsida; Santalales; Ximeniaceae. The record is from RefSeq and is a predicted model, not a curated record.
ACCUGAAGAUGUGGACAUUUAUGAAGUAAUUCCCUGAAAUGCUCAUAGUUCUCAAAGAAAAGUUUCUCAUCCGUCUGUUUGAAACUUGUAAUUGCCCUUCGCAGCU